Molecule: ribosomal RNA, 464 nt
Filed under: uncultured bacterium
Lineage: Bacteria
Description: partial 16S ribosomal RNA
Rfam family: Bacterial small subunit ribosomal RNA
Source: RNAcentral
CUACGGGAGGCUCCAGUGAGGAAUUUUGCGCAAUGGGGGAAACCCUGACGCAGCAACGCCGCGUGAGCGAAGAAGGCCUUCGGGUCGUAAAGCUCUGUCAAGUGGGAAAAAACGCUUUAGAUUAACAGUCUAAAGAAUUGAUGGUACCACUGGAGGAAGCACCGGCUAACUCCGUGCCAGCAGCCGCGGUAAUACGGAGGGUGCAAGCGUUGUUCGGAAUUACUGGGCGUAAAGCGCGUGCAGGCGGUUUGGCAAGUCAGAUGUGAAAGCCCUGGGCUCAACCCGGGAAGUGCAUUUGAAACUGCCUUUCUUGAGUAUGGGAGAGGAGAGUGGAAUUCCCAGUGUAGAGGUGAAAUUCGUAGAUAUUGGGAGGAACACCCGUGGCGAAGGCGACUCUCUGGACCAAUACUGACGCUGAGACGCGAAAGCGUGGGGAGCAAACAGGAUUAGAUACCCUGGUAGUC